This is a non-coding RNA of Megalopta genalis, 3915 nucleotides long. Lineage: Eukaryota; Metazoa; Arthropoda; Insecta; Hymenoptera; Halictidae. The record is from RefSeq and is a predicted model, not a curated record.
GAAGGAUCACUGUUGAGUGAACUACCGAGUGUGUUACGGCGGACCCGAGGAAACGGGGACAAAGGAGCCGGGAGGAUCUGCGGCCCCGAUGGGACCUAGGGAAUCUAGGGCUUGAGGGUGCGCGAGAGGCGUACGCAGUGGCUCCGGCGGCCUGUACCACUGACGGUCCAACAUCGAGCGAUCGUCAUGCUCGACGUCUGAGCCGGUUCUGGAUGCGUCUGCAGGCUCUGGCAGGUUUUGGCCAAGAUCCAAUGGAUCUACAUUCCCGGAUGGUCGUGACAGUAAUCCUUGUCGACAACCUCGACGACUGUGUGGAGCUUCUUGGGCGAGCCGAGGUUUAGUUCGGGGAUGCAAUCGGCGUUCAGGAAGUAGUACAUGGCCGAUUCCUGAUAGAGGGUAAAAUUCUCGUGAAUCGGAUUCCAAUACACGAGAACUUUAUCGCCGGGAUCACAGCUGUUGACAGUGAUGCAGCCUUGUUGGACCAGCUUCUCCGCGUACUUCUUCAUUUUUCUGCGGACGUUGCCGCAGUGCAUCGGACACGUGCACUGCGUCUCAGUACUGGUUGCUGCAUCCCGACAGACACCGUCUGUCAAUACUGCUACAGAGCCAAUCAUUUCCCGUUCACGACCCUCAGAGGACGAGGACGAGGUUUCAGCGGGAGCCGUGAACCUUCUUGUUCUCAGCAUGACUAGCUCCAUCUCCAUCCGGAGCUUAUCAGCCUUCAGCCCCUCGAUCUUCGUCUUUGCUUUGGCUUUGUACUCCCGAAGCGAUUCCAUCUCCAAACUUAGCCUCUUGUUAUCGUUUUCGAGGGUCUCGAGCCGUCUGGUGAGGCAGCUUUGGUCGUCGUUUGCUUCCAACCGCACCUUCUUUGACUCCGAAACCUCGACUUCGUCCUUCCCUGACCUGAGGCACUUCAGCACCUCCUGGACGUGGCUUAAGCUCAUUUCCUCCGGCACGUCCUUGAACUCCUCAGACUUGGUAACUCGUUUGAUCGCUGUCUUGUACUGUUCAAGCUCUUCUUGCAGCGCGAACUCCCUCAUCCUGUACAUCUUCACCUCCUGCUCGUUCUCGUCCACUACGUGCCUAACCAUCUGCAACUCCAACUCCACCUGCUUCCUGCUGGCUCCACGCUCCUUUUCCACGGCUGUACGAAUGGCCACGUAGCUCUCUUUCACCUGCGCAAGAAAGUGAAAGGCCAUCUUCAGCACGUCCGGCAUCUGGAAAACCAAAUGCUCUAUUCAGUCCUUAUUUCUUAAUCGAACCCUAGCAAGUUUUCUCGGAGAGAAUUUGGCGCGAGGUUUGAGCGAAUAGCCUCGAAAACUGAGAAACGGAAAACUAUGAAUUUAGAAUUUCAAUUCGCCAUUACCUUCUCGAAGAAUUCGUUGUGGAUCAAUCCUUCGGUGAGGUCAAGCUGCGACUGGUAGCCCAUGUGUAGCAUGUCGGUGGCGUCGACCAACCUUUGCUGAUCCGAUCUAGCGGUGUUGAGGGUGCUCUCGAGUUCCUGGAUCCUGUCUCGACACUGGGCCAUAGAACUAGUCAAAGAGGCGAUGUCCUGAAACCUCUCGGCACUCGCUUUAGCCGCGCAACCUUGCUCCAACGCUUCAUCCAGUUGUUGAUGGAGCCGCGUGUUCAAGUUCCUCAUUUCGUUUUGCCCCGACUCGAGCUUCUGCCUGAUGGUUGCCGUGAGACGUUCGUGCUCCGACAGCUCCGUCUCCUUUUCCAUCAGGCUCCGUUUCAGGGUGCAAAUCUCUUCCUCGCGGCUUUGGAUCAGCUUCUUCAUGUCGGCCAUCUCCAGCUCAUGGUCCACCGUCAUUUCCUGUUCACGUUCUCGAAGACGACGAUCACACUCGUUCGAAUAGAGGGACAACGCCUCGCGAAUUCGGUCCGUCAUCUCGCCAAGACCUGUCUUGUCUUCGUUCGAUUGAUUUCGCAAAAUCAACAGCUCUUGGCGGACAGAUGACACCGCUUCGUUCAUCGCUGCUUUCAUCGUCCUCAGGAUGGAGCGCAGCCUCUCCACCUCAUCCCGCGUGUUUCCAAGGUUUUCCUGAAACGGCCGGCCCAAGACACUUCGAUGAGAAACGAUCAGCGGUGCCGGACGGGAAGGCGUUAAAAUGAGUGAUUAAAUGGGUGUAGGUGUGAAAGUCGUGGCAGAAGGAGGAGCCUUUCGAAGUCCUCGAGCAAUUUUGAAGACCUCGAGAGAUCGAGGCGUCGAACGGAAAGCAACGCUACUUUUUUCAGACUACUAUACAUUUCUCGAAUCAUCGGAUCGCUUUCAUUCUCUACCAUAACUUUCGCUACACCCUGGGACGAUCGAGUCAGCGAGGAUUCGUGACACGUUCGAACAGUUCCCUCGCUGUCUCGAGCAUCGAGAACUUGUCUGUGACCAGUGACGGAGAUGUUAGUAGAUCGGAAGCGGGAUAAUAGUAACUCUGGCGAUGAGAAAUGUGAAAAAAAAGAAUAGACAAGAACCCCGAGGAACAGUGUGCCCGAUGCAGUAACGACAAGAAGUCGGUUAACAUUCUGGAGAAACUUGAUUGAAUAGAUCUCGGGAUAGAGUCUCUGUGUGUGUGUGUGUCACACUUCGGGUCUGAGGGGAUGGGGAUACGAGUGCGACGGCAGCUAUCCUGUAAUUUAAAAAAAUUAAGACACACGCAGUCACACGAAACCUGCACGCGGUGGGACACCACUACGAGUCAGGAGUCGAAGAGAGAUUUAGAAGGGGAUCGGAGAACUGGCGGGUAAUUCACAGCAACGGUAAUCGGCAGGCAAGAGAUACAUACCGGCGUCUCUGGGCAUACAUAUGUACUUGCACAAAGUCAGCGCUAAUAGAUUGGCUAGCGAGACAAAAGACAAUGACAACGAAAAUACCUAGAAACCACAGAGAAAGGGGAACGUAAGUGGACGGUGAUCUACAUCGACGACGAACGAGGUGAGGAUGCAGGAUCACAAAAAAACACAUGAAGGUGUGAGGAGACAUCGAUGGCCAGACUCUGGACCGGGGACUGCUGGCGAGUACUAUGCUCCGUUUUUCUUAAGAAGACCUGUCCGUUCGACCGGUGUCAUGAUUCGGAUUUGCAACACAGGAGUGUCGCGAUCAGAUAAUUACAACUGCGACGGUGUACCCAGGCGAGAUCUACCGAAAAAUAGAGCAUAAAACUAGCAAAAGAGCACUGGCGAGCACUGCUUCGAGCUCCUACGGGCACGGAGACGCUUGGAGGCGGAGCUCCCCAAUUCCCACUCCGCGGUUUCUCGGCUCGCACGGCCAGUCGCAAGCGGACGUCGUGUCCCCACCAUCCUGGCCGCACUGCGCCACGCCCACAAAGUCUCGCCACCAAACAACGAGUGCUCGCAGGAGGAUACACAGGAGCUCGCGAGCGAGGCCGACGUACACUGCCGUCCGAUGCUCGCUGAGGCUGCUCGGCAGCGACUCGUCCAUGUAAAACUCAGUACCCAUGAAGUCGGCACCGCCGCCAACGCCGACCGACGGACUGCUACCGCCACUGCUGGACAGCUGGUGCCGUUGCUGCUGCUGCUGUUGCUGAUGUAGGUGAUGUUGCUGGCCGUCGCACAACACGGACCGCGUCAGGGAAGAAGGAUUCGGACUUAGGGAACUUGGCUCCUCAGCCGUGGUCGAGUCGUCGGGUACCUGUCGGACAUCAUCGGUGCUCUCGCGAGUUCCAGUUCCUUGGCGCCCGUGUCGACGUUCACGGAAGAUUUAUCACCGGUUUCAGUUUCACCCGUGCCGGCGUCGGUGAAACUCUUCGACAAGAAGAACCGGGUGAUGGUGUUCAAAUCAGGUGACGACACGGUUAGAGCCAGGUCCGGUAACUGUGUCCUCAGCAACUCCAUGUCCUCCACGGUCAACUGUAACACAAGCAACGAAUAAAAAGAACCCAAAAAAAUCGCGAGAAAGCA